UGGGAAGGACAGACCUCUGGUGUGCCAGUUGUUGUGCCAACGGCAAUGCUGGGUAGCCAAGUCUGGAUGGGAUAAGCGCUGAAAGCAUCUAAGUGCGAAGCCCACCUCAAGAUGAGAUCUCCCAUCCCGACUUCGGUCGGGAGUAAGACCGCAAGAAGACUACUUGCUUGAUAGGCGGCGUGUGUAAGCAUAGCAAUAUGUUGAGCUAAGCCGUACUAAUGGUCGAGGUCUUUGACCUACCUC
Molecule: ribosomal RNA, 243 nt
Filed under: Chloroflexota bacterium
Lineage: Bacteria; Bacillati; Chloroflexota
Description: Chloroflexi bacterium (freshwater metagenome) partial 23S ribosomal RNA
Rfam family: Bacterial large subunit ribosomal RNA
Source: RNAcentral